UACGCGAGCUUGUCUGCUUAUAAAAAAGUAGCAUGCAUGCCACUGGUCUAUCAAGUCUAAAGGUUAGGGCAUGAACAAAAGAAGCGAAGAUGAAGAAAAACGAAGGAAAACAUGUUUAUAAAUAACUAGCAAAGGCCGAAUGAGUUCAAGCAAAACAAGAGCUACAAGGAAAAACAAAGAAAAUCCUAAAGGCUACCUAGAAUACUACACUACAACAGCUUGG
Molecule: long non-coding RNA, 223 nt
Filed under: Malus domestica (apple)
Lineage: Eukaryota; Viridiplantae; Streptophyta; Magnoliopsida; Rosales; Rosaceae
Description: long non-coding RNA (MDOM_LNC006321)
Source: RNAcentral